AUUGAACGCUGGCGGCAUGCUUUACACAUGCAAGUCGAACGGCAGCGCGGGCUUCGGCCUGGCGGCGAGUGGCGAACGGGUGAGUAAUGCAUCGGAACGUGCCCAGUAGUGGGGGAUAGCCCGGCGAAGGCCGGAUUAAUACCGCAUACGACCUGAGGGUGAAAGCGGGGGACCGAAAGGCCUCGCGCUAUUGGAGCGGCCGAGGUCGGAUUAGCUAGUUGGUGGGGUAAAGGCUUACCAAGGCGACGAUCCGUAGCUGGUCUGAGAGGACGACCAGCCACACUGGGACUGAGACACGGCCCAGACUCCUACGGGAGGCAGCAGUGGGGAAUUUUGGACAAUGGGGGCAACCCUGAUCCAGCCAUGCCGCGUGCGGGAAGAAGGCCUUCGGGUUGUAAACCGCUUUUGUUCGGGAAGAAAUCCUCUGGGCUAAUACCCCGGGGGGAUGACGGUACCGGAAGAAUAAGCACCGGCUAACUACGUG
RNAcentral lists this ribosomal RNA (484 nucleotides) under uncultured bacterium. RNAcentral's name for it is "partial 16S ribosomal RNA". It matches the Rfam family "Bacterial small subunit ribosomal RNA", at positions 28 to 507 of the family's 1533-position model. The record is from RNAcentral.